This 1449-nucleotide ribosomal RNA is filed under the name uncultured organism. RNAcentral describes it as "16S ribosomal RNA". It matches the Rfam family "Bacterial small subunit ribosomal RNA". The record is from RNAcentral.
GCGGCAUGCCUUACACAUGCAAGUCGAACGGCAGCACGGGUGCUUGCACCUGGUGGCGAGUGGCGAACGGGUGAGUAAUACAUCGGAACAUGUCCUGUAGUGGGGGAUAGCCCGGCGAAAGCCGGAUUAAUACCGCAUACGAUCUACGGAUGAAAGCGGGGGACCUUCGGGCCUCGCGCUAUAGGGUUGGCCGAUGGCUGAUUAGCUAGUUGGUGGGGUAAAGGCCUACCAAGGCGACGAUCAGUAGCUGGUCUGAGAGGACGACCAGCCACACUGGGACUGAGACACGGCCCAGACUCCUACGGGAGGCAGCAGUGGGGAAUUUUGGACAAUGGGCGAAAGCCUGAUCCAGCAAUGCCGCGUGUGUGAAGAAGGCCUUCGGGUUGUAAAGCACUUUUGUCCGGAAAGAAAUCCUUGGCUCUAAUACAGUCGGGGGAUGACGGUACCGGAAGAAUAAGCACCGGCUAACUACGUGCCAGCAGCCGCGGUAAUACGUAGGGUGCGAGCGUUAAUCGGAAUUACUGGGCGUAAAGCGUGCGCAGGUGGUUUGCUAAGACCGAUGUGAAAUCCCCGGGCUCAACCUGGGAACUGCAUUGGUGACUGGCAGGCUAGAGUAUGGCAGAGGGGGGUAGAAUUCCACGUGUAGCAGUGAAAUGCGUAGAGAUGUGGAGGAAUACCGAUGGCGAAGGCAGCCCCCUGGGCCAAUACUGACGCUCAUGCACGAAAGCGUGGGGAGCAAACAGGAUUAGAUACCCUGGUGGUCCACGCCCUAAACGAUGUCAACUAGUUGUUGGGGAUUCAUUUCCUUAGUAACGUAGCUAACGCGUGAAGUUGACCGCCUGGGGAGUACGGUCGCAAGAUUAAAACUCAAAGGAAUUGACGGGGACCCGCACAAGCGGUGGAUGAUGUGGAUUAAUUCGAUGCAACGCGAAAAACCUUACCUACCCUUGACAUGGUCGGAAUCCCGCUGAGAGGUGGGAGUGCUCGAAAGAGAACCGGCGCACAGGUGCUGCAUGGCUGUCGUCAGCUCGUGUCGUGAGAUGUUGGGUUAAGUCCCGCAACGAGCGCAACCCUUGUCCUUAGUUGCUACGCAAGAGCACUCUAAGGAGACUGCCGGUGACAAACCGGAGGAAGGUGGGGAUGACGUCAAGUCCUCAUGGCCCUUAUGGGUAGGGCUUCACACGUCAUACAAUGGUCGGAACAGAGGGUUGCCAACCCGCGAGGGGGAGCUAAUCCCAGAAAACCGAUCGUAGUCCGGAUUGCACUCUGCAACUCGAGUGCAUGAAGCUGGAAUCGCUAGUAAUCGCGGAUCAGCAUGCCGCGGUGAAUACGCUCCCGGGUCUUGUACACACCGCCCGUCACACCAUGGGAGUGGGUUUUACCAGAAGUGGCUAGUCUAACCGCAAGGAGGACGGUCACCACGGUAGGAUUCAUGACUGGGGUGAAGUC